CCAAAUUAAAAGCCUAAAUCAGUGAAUCACCCAUGGACCAGAUUACUUACUAGUUACCACUACCAGAGGUCCAGACUCUAGAAUCAGUUUAUUUUUUUCCCAAUUCUUGAUUUCCUUCUCAUCAAAACCGGUAGCCAAAGAGAUCGAAGAAGAGCAAACUUUUCUUGAGUUCUUCCCCCAAUUCCUUUCCGUCAAACCGAUCACCUGAGUUUACUGAUUGAGCUAGUAGCUGUAGUGGCGUGAAUGGUGAACCCACUGGUACGAUUCACCAUUUUUUUCUAGUCUCUCGUUCUCUAAGUCUCUGACUCUCUAUCUGUGAUUUUCUUUGUGCAAUUUUUCAUGUAUUUAUAAAUUAUACAGAUAACCACCUAUAUAAUGGUCCAAUUUUUGGGUUGUUGAUGAAUUUAGCUUCGGUUUUUAUUAAAAUAUUGUGCUACUUUCGUGUAAUUCAGUGCCUGAUUAUGUGAUUGAAUCAUUGAACUUGCUUGUUUUGAUGAAGCCCACUUUAUGAUUUUGAUAAUUAGAUCGACGAUGUUUAUUAUUUUUAUAAUUUUGAUCCUAUAUAUUAUUUGAUUGCAAUGCUAACUUGUUGCAGUUAGUAAAAAAGGGUGGAAAGUAAUGGGGGGAAAUGGGUUGGAUCAUGAAAUUUUAAUAAACGAUCAGCCUUCGACCAGACCGGAC
Molecule: long non-coding RNA, 681 nt
Filed under: Olea europaea (common olive)
Lineage: Eukaryota; Viridiplantae; Streptophyta; Magnoliopsida; Lamiales; Oleaceae
Description: long non-coding RNA (OEUR_LNC015190)
Source: RNAcentral